UUUUUGAUUUUGCAGAGCCAAGUGCAUGGGGCUAAACCCAGCUUGGUUUAGCUUUCUUGCAAACGAUGGCUUUAAGUUGAUCAUCUCCAUCAUAAAAUCAAUAUGCCCUGCAGAGGCUGCUACAUGCAAAGGAGUAUGGAAAAAAGCACCUAUCAUCCUCUCAUCCAUGGCAAGGUGCGGAAAUUUGCACAAUAUAGAAAUGGAGUGAAGAAAAAAGGCUUUAGCAGACGAUAUGAUUAUGUUAAGGAUAUAAUGAAGUGUUUGACAUUUUAUAGCACUUAAUUAUUUUGGAUUUAUAUUUGAUGUCAGCGUAUACAUGUGAAUGUCACCUAUUAGAAAGAAAUAGUAAUUAUAUUUAGUAAUUAAA
This is a long non-coding RNA of Gossypium arboreum, 367 nucleotides long. RefSeq lists it as uncharacterized. The record is from RefSeq and is a predicted model, not a curated record. Lineage: Eukaryota; Viridiplantae; Streptophyta; Magnoliopsida; Malvales; Malvaceae. The transcript has 2 exons.